This is a non-coding RNA of Canis lupus familiaris (dog), 73 nucleotides long. The record is from Rfam. NCBI's taxonomy places the organism in Eukaryota, Metazoa, Chordata, Mammalia, Carnivora, Canidae.
GCCUGGCUGGCUCAGUUGGUGGAGUGUGUGGCUCUUGAUCUCAGGGUUGUAGGUUCAAGCCCCACAUUGGGUA